Molecule: ribosomal RNA, 497 nt
Filed under: uncultured bacterium
Lineage: Bacteria
Description: partial 16S ribosomal RNA
Rfam family: Bacterial small subunit ribosomal RNA
Source: RNAcentral
GAUGAACGCUGGCGGCGUGCCUAAUACAUGCAAGUCGAGCGAACGGACGAGAAGCUUGUUUCUCUGAUGUUAGCGGCGGACGGGUGAGUAACACGUGGAUAACCUACCUAUAAGACUGGGAUAACUUCGGGAAACCGGAGCUAAUACCGGAUAAUAUUUUGAACCGCAUGGUUCAAAAGUGAAAGACGGUCUUGCUGUCACUUAUAGAUGGAUCCGCGCUGCAUUAGCUAGUUGGUAAGGUAACGGCUUACCAAGGCAACGAUGCAUAGCCGACCUCAGUGGGUGGUAGGCGACACGAGAACUGAGACACGGUCCAGACUCCUACGGGAGGCAGCAGUAGGGAAUCUUCCGCAAUGGGCGAGAGCCUGACGGAGCAACGCCGCGUGAGUGAUGAAGGUCUUCGGAUCGUAAAACUCUGUUAUUAGGGAAGAACAUAUGUGUAAGUAACUGUGCACAGCUUGACGGUACCUAAUCAGAAAGCCACGGCUAACUACGUG